CGUAAAGCACGUCACCGGCAUUCGCCGAACGGCUCGGUUCACCGGUUCUGACGGCGGCAGGCCCAGUUUUUUGGCACCGGGCAGGACGUGACUCCCCAGGGGAAGCUUUAAAGCUAAUCCGCUGCUGCCCACGGGUGUCUGCGUGACACCCCGUGUCGGCCGAAUUGGGCCACCCUGUGCAGGACACCGGCGUUGCUCAAGCGCGGCAGAUACCGGCCACCAAUCCAGAAGGAGGAUCCCCUGGAAGACCAAACCUCAUCUGUCACGUUAAAUGACUUGAGUCUUGGCUACCUGACCCAAACUCCCCGGUACAAAUUAUAUGUAGCGCUAAGCCUCAAACUGCCCCGGAGCUGUCACUCCCCAGGGUGUUUUCACGUGAGCUCUGACUCGAGAGAUGGGAGCAGAAGUUGGGCCGGCAGGUUGUUCGGCGCCUCCGACAUCCCAAGGAAAACGGAGGCACAGAGAAGUCAAGCUGCACAUCCGUGGUCAUGCAAGGGCCAGGCCAACUGCUGCCCACUGUGGACACCGUGCGAGGUUACACCGCUCCGGCAAUCGCGGUGCAGGCAGCUGAUGUUUCUGCAUCAGCAGGAUUAAUCAGAUGAGCACAACCUGCAAGACAGGAGCAGGUCUUGAUGCCGGGGCUGGGCGUACUGCCGAGGUCGCUGCCGCACGCUCGGCUUUCCUCGUGAGAAUUCGCUGGGACCCAAGGACAGCACGGCAGCAUUUUGUAAGUCCUCACUGAUGCAUCUCUUCCAAGCCUUCCUGUUCAGGCUCUUUCACAAAAAUAAAAAACCCGCCAGAUUUUCA
RNAcentral lists this long non-coding RNA (807 nucleotides) under Apteryx owenii (little spotted kiwi). Its description in RNAcentral is "lncRNA (ENSAOWG00000006047.1)". Lineage: Eukaryota; Metazoa; Chordata; Aves; Apterygiformes; Apterygidae. The record is from RNAcentral.